ACUGCCGAAAUUGAGGCAUGUAGAGACGAUAGAACCCCAGAGAUAUCUCUUCAUAAGAAAGUCCAGAAAGAGUGGGCUUGUGCUGUAUGCCUGCUCACAACCCAAAGUGAGGCUACCUUGAAUUCCCAUCUUCAAGGGAAGAGACAUCAGGCCACUUCUGAGCAGCUGAAAGCCAAAAACCAGGCAACCAAAGACAAUGGUUCCCCAUCUGCUUCAAUGGCCAAGAUAUCUGAUCAGUCCACCAAAGAGGAGCAACCGAAGUGUACUUCCAACAAUCUGAAUUCUAAAAACAAUGGAAUCUCAGCUGCUUCAACAGUGAAGAAACCAGAUGAGACCAAAGAUGAUAAGCGACAAAAGUGUGCAUCUAGCAAUGGACCGAACCAGAAGAAUAAAAAAGUGUGGGCUUGUGCUCUAUGCCAGGUCACAACCCAAAGUGAGGCUACCUUGAAUUCCCAUCUUCAAGGAAAGAGACAUCAGGCCACUUCUGAGCAGCUGAAAGCCAAAAACCAGGCAAUCAAAACCAAUGGCUCCCCAUCUGCUUCAAUGGCCAAGAAAUCUGAUGGGUCCACCAAAGAGGAGCAACUGAAGUGUACUUCCAACAAUCUGAAUUCCAAAAACAAUGGCAUCUCAGCUGCUUCAACAGUGAAGAAACCUGAUAAGACCAAAGAGGAUAAGCAACAAAAGUGUGCAUCUAGCAAUGGACCGAACCAGAAGAAUAACAAAAAUUGGGCUUGUGCUCUAUGCCAGGUCACAACCCAAAGUGAGGCUACCUUGAAUUCCCAUCUUCAAGGGAAGAGACAUCAGGCCACUUCUGAGCAGCCGAAAGGCAAAAACAAGGCAACCAAAGCCAGUGGUUCCCCAUCUGCUUCAAUGGCCAAGAAAUCUGAUCAGUCCACCAAAGAGGAGCAACUGAAGUGU
Molecule: long non-coding RNA, 918 nt
Filed under: Vitis vinifera (wine grape)
Lineage: Eukaryota; Viridiplantae; Streptophyta; Magnoliopsida; Vitales; Vitaceae
Description: long non-coding RNA (VVIN_LNC006817)
Source: RNAcentral